RNAcentral lists this ribosomal RNA (230 nucleotides) under uncultured bacterium. RNAcentral describes it as "partial 16S ribosomal RNA". It matches the Rfam family "Bacterial small subunit ribosomal RNA", at positions 118 to 350 of the family's 1533-position model. The record is from RNAcentral.
UGGGCAACCUGCCCCAGACACAGGGAUAACCCCGGGAAACCGGGGCUAAUACCGGAUAUGAGUCCGAGCGGCAUCACGCGGACUGGAAAGUUUUUCGGCUAAGGAUGGGCUCGCGGCCUAUCAGCUUGUUGGUGGGGUAAUGGCCUACCAAGGCGACGACGGGUAGCCGGCCUGAGAGGGCGACCGGCCACACUGGGACUGAGACACGGCCCAGACUCCUACGGGAGGCA